Molecule: long non-coding RNA, 1138 nt
Filed under: Phasianus colchicus (ring-necked pheasant)
Lineage: Eukaryota; Metazoa; Chordata; Aves; Galliformes; Phasianidae
Description: lncRNA (ENSPCLG00000015357.1)
Source: RNAcentral
AAGAGUGAAUGCCUGGGAACUGGGGAUUUGACCUACAUGGGAGUUUGACAUGCAGCAGCAUCUGAGCUUCAUUGGUGUUUUUUUUUGUUGUUGUUGUUUUUUUUCUUCUCAGUGGUGACCAGCAAAACAAACACCUGCCAAGGACCCCCUGCUUGAGGCUGUUUUAUUCCUGGUGCCAGGAGGAUGCUCCAGUGGGUGCCCAGAGUGCCCGGGUGUCACGCUCUCUUCCAGGUCUCCCCCUGCUGCCUGUGCUGCUGACCCCAGCCCUCUGCCCCUGGCCCUCAAAGCUCUGCAGGCUCCUGCUCUGCGCUCAGCAUGCUCCUCCCUGGUGGACCCCGGCCCUCUGAGGAAUCGCUCUGGAGCUCGAGGCCAGCCUACAGGGAGAGCAUCUUCCUUGCUUUAGCCAUGGAUUUCCUGCAGCUGAAAACAACAAACCAUUUUAAUCUACGUAUUGCUUGUUCUGAUCUUUUAAUCCAGCUUGCUUUCUAUCGUCGGAGAAGCCUAAAAUCAUUUCUCUGCCUGCCCCCUAUUAUAUAAUUAUUCGGCAGAUUACUCAGGGGCCAGAUGUGGCUGGGCACUGCUGUGAAGGGUUGAGGGGCUGCAGAGGAGCAUUGCAGGACUGCUCCCAGGAGGGAAAGUGUUGAGCUGGCUGCACUGUGCUGAGUCCUUUGCGUUCCAGCACGCAACGGCAAGCAAGGUUAUCCCUCAGCUCAUGUUUGUUGAAAGAAAAUGCCUCAGAGUCCAGUUGGAGAAGUGUGGCCUCCAACUUGGGGAGGAUCUCGCUACACCACAGAAGUGCAUUUUAUGGCUGUAUUUCUGUCUCUGAUCUCACUGUGGUGUUAUCCACGUCUUGGGAAGGAAUGAGACAUAUGGAUGGUGCUGCCCGUGCAGAACUGCCUGACAUCCCUGUGUAGAGCAUUGGGUGGGGGACAGCCUGGGUGAAGGACCAGCAGCUGGGGGGAAUAUCGUCGUGACACUGAGAUGACAUGGCUUCAUCUCCAAUGCCCUGAUCUCAGCCAGCUUUCAAGGAGCCUUAGAUGUUAACCUUAGCUAAUGAAGUCUGGAGCCCUUGGGUAAUGGAGUGGUUUGGGAGAGCUGCCUUGCAGAAGCAACAUCGCUAAAACUGAUGCCAGAGGAG